Long non-coding RNA from Monomorium pharaonis (pharaoh ant), 533 nucleotides. RefSeq lists it as uncharacterized. NCBI's taxonomy places the organism in Eukaryota, Metazoa, Arthropoda, Insecta, Hymenoptera, Formicidae. The transcript is spliced from 2 exons. The record is from RefSeq and is a predicted model, not a curated record.
UUUUUUGUUUUAUUUUUAAAUGUAAUGAAAAACAAUGUAAUUUUUCUCUGUUUUGUUAUUAUUUAAAAAAUAUGUGUAAUACUUCUUAAUUGAGAUGUUAGAUGUAUCGGGAAUUAUAUAUGUACAUAUUAAUAUAAAUAAUUGAAAGUAACUUUUUUACAGGAUGACAUAGUUAAAAAUUUGGAUCAAAUUGGACAUCAAUUAAUAAUUAUAUCGGCUGUACAAAAAACUACAGAUAAUUUAUUUGUAACGUGGCCAACAACGAAGUUUGGUGAAGCAGCAGAAUUUAUACACAAAGCAUAUCAUAAGGAAGCUAAAUUGAAACGUAAAUUACUGGAAAACGUUUCUCACAAUUAUACAAAAUCCUGGAAGAUGCUUCAUCUUGCGGCAUGGGCAUACGAGCCUUUAAUAACAGAAGAUUUAACAAUUUUAUUAAAUUCAUUACUUAUUGAAACUUGUCAUAAAUGACAAAUUCCAACAUUUUAUUUUUUAUUUUUAUAAAAUUAUAUAUCAAUAAAAGACGUAACAGAUUG